AUGGCUCAGGAUAAACGCUGGCGGCGUGCUUAACACAUGCAAGUCGAACGGAGUACUUCUCCCGAGACCGAGGAAGCUUGCUCCAAAGAAUCAUUGAAGUACUUAGUGGCGGACGGGUGAGUAACGCGUGGGUAACCUGCCUCACACAGGGGGAUAACAGUUGGAAACGACUGUUAAUACCGCAUAAGCGCACAGUAUCGCAUGAUACAGUGUGAAAAACUCCGGUGGUGUGAGAUGGACCCGCGUCUGACUAGCUAGUUGGUGAGGUAACGGCCCACCAAGGCGACGAUCAGUAGCCGGCCUGAGAGGGUGUACGGCCACAUUGGGACUGAGACACGGCCCAAACUCCUACGGGAGGCAGCAGUGGGGAAUAUUGCACAAUGGGGGAAACCCUGAUGCAGCGACGCCCGCGUGAGUGAUGAAGUAUCUCGGUAUGUAAAGCUCUAUCAGCAGGGAAGAUAAUGACGGUACCUGACUAAGAAGCACCGGCUAAAUACGUGCCAGCCGCGGC
This 511-nucleotide ribosomal RNA is filed under the name uncultured bacterium. Its description in RNAcentral is "bacterial SSU rRNA". It matches the Rfam family "Bacterial small subunit ribosomal RNA", at positions 19 to 518 of the family's 1533-position model. The record is from RNAcentral.